AUGUUUCUCCGGAAAACACUUAGGUGCCUAGUUGAUGUGGUUAAUUCUGAAACUUCUACUCUUGCUAUUGUUGCAAUGCAAGCAUUGGGUCAUAUUGGACUGCGUAUUUCAUUACCUCCACUUGAGGAUUCUAAUUCAGAUGGAACUCUGAUAGUUCUGUAUGAUAAGUUGAGUAAACUUCCAAGUUCCAUACCGCAACUCUAUUUCUCUCAUAGUGAAACCAUAUUUGUUAAUGGCACAGCAAUCUGCAGCAAAUGUUACAAGCCCAGAAAAGUAAAACAACAACAUAUGCAGAGGAAUAGAGUAUCAAAGUAA
Vicia faba (fava bean) is the source of this 315-nucleotide non-coding RNA. Lineage: Eukaryota; Viridiplantae; Streptophyta; Magnoliopsida; Fabales; Fabaceae. The record is from the annotation of a GenBank genome assembly.